RNAcentral lists this unclassified non-coding RNA (153 nucleotides) under uncultured bacterium. RNAcentral's name for it is "partial 16S-23S ribosomal RNA intergenic spacer". The record is from RNAcentral.
GAUCUACAAAAAGCAAGCCUUAACUUAGGCUUUCAGAAAAGGCACUCUUGUUUUUGUAAAGUGGUGUGUUUUUAUGAGAUGAUGCCGGGGAAGGUUUUCCGGUUUAUCCCGGAGGGCUUGUAGCUCAGUUGGUUAGAGCGCGCGCUUGAUAAG